Dipodomys ordii (Ord's kangaroo rat) is the source of this 72-nucleotide non-coding RNA. NCBI's taxonomy places the organism in Eukaryota, Metazoa, Chordata, Mammalia, Rodentia, Heteromyidae. The record is from Rfam.
GGGAAGGUGGCUCAGUGGUAGAGCGCUUGCCUUGCAUGCAUGAGGCCCCGAGUUUGAUUCCUCAGCAACCCA